CUCAAACUCUGGUUUAUAUCACUAUUUAAAAUAAUAUUAUAUAAGUAAAAGAAUUGAAUUUUAUCCACAAAAAAGUACUGAGAAGGAAAGUUUCGUUAAUUUUAAAGAAGUUAUUUAUUAUACCUUUUGUAUCAGGGUUUAUCUAAUUUUGACCAGUAUUGUCAAAUCCCGAAAUAAGGUGAUCUAUGUUAAUUAAAGAUGACUGUUUCAUAAUUCUCUUCAAGAUUAAUGUCGGUGUAAAAAAUAUUUCGUACCUUUAUAUCUGGUUGGCAUAAGACUCCUUUAGGGUACUCCACAAGGAAGAUUUUCUAGGGGACGAGCUCUAGAAAAAAUUACAUCAAACCACCGUCAGUGAUAUGAAUAGGCUUAAAAGUUGCCAGGGUGUAAUAACCAGGCUCACUUAGAUAAUAAUUUAAAGUUGAUUAAUUCAACCUAGCCAGUGCUGGUUAUUAAUAUCCAGCAGUUAUAAUGAUAAAAUUAGUAUAAGUAUAAAAAUAUAAUAGA
RNAcentral lists this ribosomal RNA (504 nucleotides) under Artemia tibetiana. Its description in RNAcentral is "partial 16S ribosomal RNA". The record is from RNAcentral. Lineage: Eukaryota; Metazoa; Arthropoda; Branchiopoda; Anostraca; Artemiidae.